CAGUAGCCGCGGGAAAACGGAGGGUGCAAGCGUUAUCCGGAUUUAUUGGGUUUAAAGGGUCCGUAGGCGGACUUAUAAGUCAGUGGUGAAAGCCUGUCGCUUAACGAUAGAACUGCCAUUGAUACUGUAAGUCUUGAGUAUAUUUGAGGUAGCUGGAAUAAGUAGUGUAGCGGUGAAAUGCAUAGAUAUUACUUAGAACACCAAUUGCGAAGGCAGGUUACCAAGAUAUAACUGACGCUGAGGGACGAAAGCGUGGGUAGCGAACAGGAUUAGAUACCCCAGUAGUCCCUGUCUCUUAUAC
This 301-nucleotide ribosomal RNA is filed under the name uncultured bacterium. RNAcentral's name for it is "partial 16S ribosomal RNA". It matches the Rfam family "Bacterial small subunit ribosomal RNA", at positions 509 to 807 of the family's 1533-position model. The record is from RNAcentral.